CACCGCAUCUUUAUAAAGGGCCGCCUUGGGGCGCGAAAGGUUCGUGAGGUGUAGUCGCGGCAACUAGGAGGUGCACCCACCACUAGAAUUUGAACAUCCUAAGAACAGGUAUUUUUGUCUCUGCUUUGCUGAUGUAUCCUCAGCAACCGGAACUGCCUGACAUGCCCAGUUCUGGUGAUGAUUUCACUUUUGACAGAAGCUGUCCCUCAAAAGCAAACAUGCAAUAGAAGAAACAGAUCUCAAUGCCAUCCAUCUGCAGUUGUGACAAGCAAAAAAGUCUCCAGACAUGGCCAAAUGUCCCCUGGGGGGCAAAAUCACCCCCCAGUUGAGAACUACUGCUCUAAACUAUGGAGUCUCACUCUGUCACCCAGGAUGGAGUACAGUGGCGUGAUCUCGGCUCACUGCAAGCUCCGCCUCCUGGGUUCAUGCCAUUCUCCUGCCUUAGCCUCCCGAGUAGCUGGGACUACAGGCGCCCGCCACCACGCCCGGCUAAUUUUUGUAUUUUUAGUAGAGACAGGGUUUCACCGUGUUAGCCAGGAUGGUCUCGAUCUCCUGACCUCG
Molecule: non-coding RNA, 561 nt
Filed under: Pan troglodytes (chimpanzee)
Lineage: Eukaryota; Metazoa; Chordata; Mammalia; Primates; Hominidae
Source: RNAcentral